UACGGGGGGGGCAAGCGUUGUUCGGAAUUACUGGGCGUAAAGGGCUCGUAGGCGGCCAACUAAGUCAGACGUGAAAUCCCUCGGCUUAACCGGGGAACUGCGUCUGAUACUGGAUGGCUGGAGUUUGGGAGAGGGAUGCGGAAUUCCAGGUGUAGCGGUGAAAUUCGUAGAUAUUCGGAAGAACACCAGUGGCGAAGGCGACACACUGGCCCGUUACUGACGCUGAGGCGCGAAAGCGUGGGGAGCAAACAGG
Molecule: ribosomal RNA, 253 nt
Filed under: uncultured bacterium
Lineage: Bacteria
Description: partial 16S ribosomal RNA
Rfam family: Bacterial small subunit ribosomal RNA
Source: RNAcentral